Molecule: long non-coding RNA, 41019 nt
Filed under: Durio zibethinus
Lineage: Eukaryota; Viridiplantae; Streptophyta; Magnoliopsida; Malvales; Malvaceae
Description: long non-coding RNA (DZIB_LNC001724)
Source: RNAcentral
AAUUCUUUACUCAUUUCUUUCUUUUAUCUUUCUCAUCGUUUGUUUAAACUUGUUCUUUCAAUCAAGAAAACAACCCAAAAACCUCCCUCCAAGCCCACCAUCACUACCCAUAAUUGGCCACCUUCACCUCCUAAAACCCCCAUCCAUCGUUUGUACCAUAGCCUUUCACAAAAAUAUGGUCCAAUCUUCUCCCUUCGCCUCGGUUCUCGGCUUCUUGUUGUAGUAUCAUCUUCAACCGCAGCCGAGGAAUGCUUCAGCAAGAACGAUAUAGUUUUUGCCAAUCGCCCCAAGUUUAUCAUAGGGAAACACUUAGGCUACAACUAUACCACAGUUUCAACAUCGUCUUAUGGUGAUCAUUGGCGCAACUUACGUAGAAUUGGUGCCAUUGAAAUCUUCUCAUCAAGUCGUCUAAACGCCUCCGUGACUGUUCGAAAAGACGAAAUCAGGCGCUUGUUAUUAAAACUGUCGUGUGAUUCGCGUCAAGAGUUUGCGAAAGUGGAGCUGAAAUCUAUCCUUAAUGACAUGACCUUUAAUAACAUAAUGAGGAUGGUGGCAGGGAAGCGGUACUAUGGAGAUGAAGUGACGAAUGAAGAAGAAGCAAGAGAAUUUAAGGAACUUAUGGCAGAGGCAUUCAAGAAUGGUGGAACAGCAAAUCAAGAAGAUUACUUUUCUGUAUUGAACUGGUUUGGUGAAGGGUAUGAAAAGAAGGUGAAGAAGCUUGGAAAAAGGAUGGACAGGUUCUUGCAAACUUUGAUUGACAAUCACCGAAGUAAGAGGCAGGAAAAUAAUAGUAUGAUUGAUCACCUUCUUUCCUUGCAAGAAUCUGAGCCUCGUUACUAUACUGACGAAAUUAUCAAAGGGUUCAUAUUGGUAAUUAGUUGAAUCUUUUCUUUUUUCUUUUUACUUUUCAAUAUUUUAUUGUUGAAAGAUUUUCGGUUUUAAAUUUUGAGCUUAACUUAAUUGAUUCAUGCACUUAUUUUUAGAAGAUGACAUUCAAAUCUGAAAUGUCCUAAACUAACAAAUUAACAUUGUUCUGUAGGUGAUAAUACUUGCAGGAACAGAUACAUCAGCAGUCACAAUAGAAUGGGCAAUGUCCAAUUUGCUAAAUCACCCAGAAGUAUUGAAGAAGGCUAGAGCUGAACUAGACAAUCAAAUUGGUCAAGACAACCUGAUUGAUGAACAAGAUGUUUCCAAGCUACAUUACCUUCAAAGUAUUAUAUUGGAGACACUUCGAUUAUACCCUGCAGCUCCUCUUCUGCUUCCGCACAUGCCAUCGAAUGAUUGUACCUUAGGUGGAUACAACGUGCCACGUGGUGCCAUCGUACUGGUGAACGCUUGGGCCAUUCAUAGGGAUUCAAACCUAUGGGAUGAUCCAACAAGUUUUAAGCCAGAGAGAUUUGAAAAUGGUGGGAAAUUAGGAGAAUAUUCUCACAAGCUAAUGCCAUUUGGGUUAGGAAGGAGAGCAUGUCCAGGAGCAAGCCUGGCUCAGCGAAUAGUGGGAUUAACUUUAGGAUCUUUGAUUCAGUGCUUUGAGUGGGAAAGGAUUGAUGACAAGGAAAUUGACAUGACUGAAGGAAAGGGAAUCACCAUGCCUAAAGUUCAGCCAUUAGUUGCUUUGUGCCAAGCUCGUCCCAUCGUGAAUAAGGUUUUUUAUAAAUAAAUUUGAUUAAUAUCAUAAGUUGGGUGAUUAUAGUGGAAAAAUAGGUUUUGAUUGCCUAUCUGGUCAAGAUUUUAUUGGAGUAGGACACAGUUAGUGUGUUCUAUUUUUUUUUCUUUUGUUUUAAUGAUUGGAUUAGUCCAUAUCAAAAAAAGGAGGUCAAAUUAUGUAAUAAAUAUCUGUAUUUUAAUUAAAUAAUAAAAUUAAUCCUUUUAUCUUAAUGUGUUUAAAUUGGAUCUUUAUACUUUCUUUAAUUAUCGAAAUUUUGUUAACGGUUCAAACUUUUUCAAUUAAAAUUGAUGACAUGGUAUUUUGACUUUUCUAACGUGACAUUUUUGUUUAUAUGAUCGUUGACUUUAUUGACUUUUGAGGUCAAAAUGAUCAAAGAUAAUAACAUGACAAAAUUUUUUAAUACAUCAUUAUUUUUUCACUUCAGCUUUUCUCAAAUUGUACAGAUAAUCCUUAUACUUUUAUUAAAUGAUAGAAUUAAUCCUUCUAUCUUAAUGUGUGUUCAAUCUUAUCUUUUUAUAUCAAUUAAUUAUUAAAUUUAAGAUUUGACACUCAUUGCAUUCAAAUUUUAUUCUUAAAUUAUUUAUAAUCAAUGCUUUACAAGAUGGAACAUUGAUAAUAGAAAAUCUAAGUUCAACUUGAUUCUAAUGAAUUUUGAAACUUCAAAGACAUAAUUAAAAGAGCUUAAUACUCAAAACAUAUCUUUUAAUGAAGACAAGAAUAUCUUACUUAGAAUAAGACUAGCCAAAAGCUCCCUCCAUAAGUUAAAAGACUUAACAAAGUCUAGGUGAAAGACAACACAUAAAGGACCCCAUGAAUAUAAAUCAUGCUUGACUAAAACAAACCAUCCGAUGCAUUGAGAGCCUUCAAUCUAAUCUAGACUCCCAAAUGAACUCAAAGUUCUUUACUUCCUAAGAUGUCAACAUCUUUGAAAGUGACUUGUUUUUUGGAACAACUUAACUUAUAAAUCUCAAUUUUUAUAUGACACCAUUUGAGAAUAAGGAUGGUUAAAAGAAUCAAUUUUAAGCUUUUUGUAUGGUUGACUAUUAUUAUUAUAUACAUCAACAUUAGAGUUUUUAAAUUCUAUAAAAUGAAUCCUCUUGUUUAUUUAUUAAUUUUUAAGAAAAAUUAUCAAAUAUAUUAAGAAAAUGAAAAUUUUUAAUAUUACAAAUUAAAUAUAUAUUUAGAAUAUAUUUUAAAAAAUUAAAAAAUUAAUUUUAAAAAAAGUGAGACAUGCACGAUCUUAUUAACUUCAUUUAUAAAAUUAAAAAAUUUCCUUAACAAUAGAUUAAACAAUUUUUUUAAAAAAUACAAUUUAACUAGAUAUCAAUCCAUGUUUCACUUUGAAUAUCUAUUUUUGUGUAUGUAAUUAAGAAAAUCAGCAUAAAUUGGUGUUUUGAAUAGUUAUCAUAACGAUUUUGGAGUAGCUUGAUGAAUUUGAAAAUGAAAUAAAAAAAAAAAAGAGUCACCACCAAUAUUUUUUGGCUAGGUGAAAUUGACUACCUAUUAAAACAUAUUCUUUUAAUAAAAUUUUAAAAUUAAUUAAAAUUUAUUAAAAAAAUAAUUUUAAUGUAUGCAAAACAGGUUGGGUCAAGGAGUUAGUUACUUGUAGGAAAAAAUUAGCACCCCUACAGCUCCCGUUUAAAACGGUACCAAUUAAUUAAAUAUUAUCCUUUAAUUCUGACAAAAACAAUUUUAUAUUUAUUUAUUUAUUAUUAUUAUUAUCAUUGUUCUGUUUUAUUUGAGAAAAAUAAAUUAAAACUUUUUUAUUGAAAUAAUUUUUAAAAUGUUUCAGUACAUUGAAAAUAUUAGAAGAACUUUCUCACCUAAAGAUUUCUUAAGUAUCGUUCUCAAAAUACCUUAAAAUCUCAUCUUUAGAGGUCCAGAUUUAUUUUUCAAAAACACUAUUAUACAUGCAAUACAAAUGAUAAUACAUUGAUUUACACAUUUUAUUUUCCUUUUAGAAAAUUUAUUUUUUAUAUUAUAAUUGUUAUUGUUUGAAGAAAUUUUUAUCACAUUAAAAAAUUUUUAUAAAUACUUCAAUAUACUAGCAAUAUUUCAAAAAAAUUUCCUCACCUAUAGAGUUUUAAAGCAUCACUACUUGGAAUAUCUUAAAAUCCUAUCAUCAGGUAAAGAUUUCUUUUCCCUUAUUUUUUAUUAUUUUAUUUUUAACAAAUUAGUUAAUUUUUAUUUACUAUUUUAUAGCAAAAAAAAAAGAGAAAAUUUUUUAUUGUUUGGAAACUUUUUAUAAAUACUUCAAUGUUGGUAUAUUAAAGAAAAUUCCUCUAGGGAUCUAGUACUGGACUUUGAUUAUGUUGUAUUUCAAUUUUUUCAUUUUCUAUUUUUAUUAUUUUUAUUAUUUUUUCAGUAAUUUUUUGGUUAUUUUUUCCUAUUUUUGGUUAUUUUUCCUAUUUUUUUAAUCUUAAAAAUUAUCAAAGUUUAGAAACCUUUUUUAUUAUAUUGGUAUCAUACUAUCAAUUAUUAAUUAUUAUUUUUUAUUAAGAUUAUUCUACAGUUUAAUAAAAAUUAUAAAAAUUUUAAACUAUAUUUUCCAUUUUUUAUUUAAUUUAUCUAUUUUAUUUUGUUUUCAUUUUUCCUAGUUAAAAAAAAUUAGUUAACAAAUUUAAACAUUUUCACAUGCAUAAAUAUUAAUGCUAAAAUUUAUAUAAACAAAAAUAAUAUAAAAAAUAAAUCAAAAAAUGAAAAAAAUUAAACCGGACCGAUCAACGGUUUGGUCUGUAUCAGUUUAGCUAGACUGAUUGGUAGUCAAAAAGGGAAAACUGGGUCACGAGUCAAGCACGCAGAUCUCUGAUCAACCCAUUGGUAUGCACAUAGAUCUUGGAUGAAACGAUGUUGUUUUAAGGCUUAGUCUUCUAUAUAAAAACCAAAAUUUUUUUGUUUUGCCAUCGAUCACCAUUUUCGGUGGUCGAAAAACAAAGGAAAUAUCAAAAGACUCCCCUUUACCCUUUAAGCUCAGAUUUGGUCUCCUUUUUGCCAAGAACAACCUUGAUCAACAUUGAAUAGGCUUUAAAGCUUUAGUUUCCCUCUUUUUUAUAUUUUCAUUAAUUUUAAUUUAUUAUUAUUUUUUAUUUUUUAAUGAUACUAACUUUUCUCUUUUCCUUUAGGCACAUCGCACAGAGCUAAGUUCCCCAAUAGGGGAUUUUUAGAGGCAUGUUGUAUAGGUCCAAAGGGAUUUGGGCAUGGAAGGCAGUGGGUUGCACAAGGGCGUAGGAAUAAGUGGCUAGUGGUGCCGUGCACGGCACCUACUAGCAUUAGCCUCCAGUCUUUUGUUCUUUUGCCUUUUUUUAAUAUUUUUGUAUUAAUGUUUAAUUAAUUAUUAUUUAUUAUAUUUUGAUAUAAAUAAUAAAAUUAAAAUUAAAAAUUAAACAGUGGGCCAAGGCUUAGAAAAAAUUGGGUUUUAGCCUAUUAACUCGUUAGAAUUAAGAAAUUUAAAUUGAAACCUAGAUAAAUUUGAUGUUUACAAUUGCAUCUCUUUAUGCAUUGCUGAGAAUCAGAAAUAGGGUAAAAACAAAGACAACAAUUUUGUCUGGAGUCCAAAGUGAUUUUUUUUUCUAAUUGAUCUAAACUAAUUAAAAAGUUUAUCUCAUUAAAGACCAAAACGCUUUAAAGAUCAAAUCGAAAUACUCCUCUUACUCGAGGCUCGACAACUUUUGAAAACUUAAAAUGGCACCUCUAAGUAAAGACUCAAUAACUUUAAAAUUGACAUCUGAAAAAAAGUUCCUCUGAAUAGAGGCUUAACAACUUAAAAAAGUUCAUCAUCUUUUCUCAAAAUCGAGUUCUUAUCUUUGAGCAAGUAAAUUUUUUUCUUUUAAAAUCUCUUCUUUAAUUAUUAUCUUUGCCUAAUGAUCAAAAUCUUGUUUUCCAUUAUGAAAUUGAAAGUCCUUGUCCUUGUUAUAACUACUCAUUGAUGCAUGUGUUGAAUGCUCUAAAUGCAAUGCAUGUAAUGCAAUCAAAAUCAUUCAUUUGUGGUAAAAGGCUCUCGAAAUCUCUUACCUUUUUAUUUAUUUUAUCAAAAUUCUAAAACAAUUGCCAUAGGACCAAUUUGUUCUUAAUGUCUGACCAUUAUAUUCUUUCUUAACAAUAUUUUUCUUUUUCAAAACUCUACAACAUCAAUGUCUUGUCAUGCUUUUCUUGUCAUUUUUCAUCUGUUUUUAUUGACUUCUAAAAGUAAUGCCCGAGACAUUCCAUGUUAUUUUUUUUUAUCAUUUCAAGUUCAAGAUAAAUAAAAUACAAUCACACAUUCCUCUAAUUCAUUUGUAAGGUGAACAAAUAUGACGAAUUGAGAUAAAAGGAUGGAUAGGCAUUAUUCCCAAAGAAAAGAAAACAUAUUUCAUUAAACUGAUAAUAAGUGCAUGGCAACAAAAGUGUUUAGGUAGAAACAAAUGUACCUAAGUAAUGAUUACAAGAUAAUCAUGAAUAAAAUAUUCCUAGUUUCUUUCUCCAAAACUUAACCAAAUGACUUCCUUAAUUCUUUAGAAUUCGUUAAACUAUAUUUGCUUUUGUGUUGUGAGGUCAUUUCUUAAUGAUACUUCUCUUUUACAUCCAAGUCACAUUUUCAAGUUUUUAACUUAAAUGCCAUUCUUUUUCUUGCUUUUUUCUUCUUUUUUUCUUUUUCAAACGAAGUAUCUUUUCAUAGUAUCUGAGUUUAUCAGAGUAGGCAAACCAUUUUUGUCCAUUUCUACCAAAAUUAAUGCCCUAUCGAAAAAGACUUUUUUCACCACAUACAGAUCUUCUUAAUUUGGUGUCUAUUUUUUUUUACUAUCAUGUUGAUUUAGAAGGAUCCUUUUCAACACUAAGUCUCCUUCUUAAAAGCUACGAAGGUGAAUUUUCUUAUUAUGUGCUCUCAUUAUCCUCAUUUGAUACAAUUGACCAUGGUAAAGUAUUGUAAGCCUUUUUUCAUCAAUGAAGUUCAACUGCUCAUAGCGAUUUUGGACCCAUUUUACUUUUUUUAACUUGACUUCCAUCAGAACUCUCAAUGAUAGAAUUUUUACUUCAACUGACAACACAACUUCUAUCUCAUAAACCAAAGAGAAUGAUGUGGUCCCAGUAAAUGCUCAAACUAAUGUUCUACAAGUAUGCAAGGCAAAAGGUAACUUCUCAUACUAGUCUUUAUAAGUAUCAGUCAUUUUUUCCAAGAUCUUUUUUAUAUUCUUGUUUAUAGCUUCUACUGUCCUAUUCAUUUUUAGACGAUACGGUGUCAAAUUAUAAUAAUGGAUCUUGAACUAAGUGCAUACUUCAUUUAUUAUUUUACUGUUCAAGUUUUUAGCAUUAUUAAAAAUAAUCAUCUCUAAAAGCCUAUAUUUGCAUAUUAUUUUUUUUUUAUGAAAUUAGAUACCACCGAUUGUGUCACACUAGCAUACGAUACAACUUUUACCUAUUUCGUAAAAUAAUCAAUCAUCACAAAGAUGAAUCUAUGUUUAUUUGAAGCUUUUAGAGUGAUAGGAUCGAUGACAUCCAUGCCUCACAUAGAUAUUGGCCAUGGAAGAGCCAAAACAUGCAAUGUUAUUGAAGAAGUAUGAAUUUUAUCAGCAACAAUCUGACACUUCUGACAUUUUUUUGCAUAAUCAAUAUAGUCACUCUCUAUUGUCAACCAAUAAUAGCUAGUCCUCAUAAUUUGUCUAGCCAUCAUAUGACCACCAUUAUAUGCCUCACAAACCCCGUCAUGUACUUUUUAAUAAUCUUUUUUGCUUCAAUUGUAUUCACAUACCUUAAGAGCACUUGAUCUCAAUUUCUUUUAUAAAAGAUAUCUCUAUCAAGGAAGAACCCAUAGCCAGCCUUUUGAUAGUCUUUUUAUCAUUUUCUGUUGCAUGUUCUAAAUAUUGUUGACUUUUAAUGUAUUGCAUAAUGUCAUGAUACCAUGGCUUCCCAUUAAUUUUUUUCGACACCUGAGCAAUGUGCUAGUGUAUCCUUCACAUCCAAUUUGAUGGGUUGAAUCUUGGUAUUUGUAUCUAUUCUGAUCAUUGUAUCCAAAGUAGCCAUUGUAUUAGUAAUCUGGUUCUCCUCUCUAGGCACAUGCUCAAAAUAAACUUCUUCAAAUUUUUGGACAAACUUAGAAACGUAUCAAUGGUACCUGAUUAAUUUGAAAUCUUUUAUUUCUUAUUCACCUCAUAACUAAUAGAUGACUAAAGUUGAAUCUCCAAACACACCCAAUACUUUGAUCUUCUUUUCAAUUACUACUUAUAGACCUCUAUCACAAGCCUCGUAUUCAACCACAAUGUAUGUGCAAUUGAAAUUCAAUCUGGCCAUGAUGGGAUAAUAGUGUCUAUUGAGAGAUAUUAAAAUUGCCCUAAUAUUAUGGCCUAAAGCAUUAGUAGCUCCAUCAAAAUAUAUUUUCCAAGACUUUUCAAUAAGUUCAUUCAUUUCAAUGGCUAUCACAUCUUCAUUAGAAAAAUCCAGUUUCAUUGGCUCAUAAUCUUCGAUCGCAUGAUCGGCUAAGAACUUAGCUGUUGCAUUCACUUUAAUAGCCUUUUGAGUUACAUAAACAAUAUCAUAUUCUGAAAGCAUAACUUGUCACCACACUAUUCUUCUUGUUAAUAAACCCUUUUCGAAGAUAUACUUAAUGUGAUUCAAAUAUGCUAUGAGCUAAGUAAUGUGAUAAAGCUUGUAUUGUCUAAGCCACGUAUGUAAGCUUUUCAUCAAAAUGAAUUUGACUUUUUGAUGCAAAGAGGAUAGAACAACACUUUUCAUAUGAAUCUAUAGCUUACCCAAUACGUAACUAUAUGAGAGAGAGAUAUCUAUAACUUAAAAUUUUACAUUAAAAAUGCAAGGGUCAAUUUGUAACGACAUUUUUAUAUCUCCUAACACCUUUUUUCGAGUCUCAUUGAAGGUUCAAACUACAAUAUAACUAGGCUUCCUAUAAAAUUCAUCAAUAGAUAGUUUUAUCAAAGUAAUCAUAGGCAUAACAUUGAUUGAUGAGCCAUUAUUGAUUAAAACUUUAGUCAUUAUAUGACUCUUGUAUUUUACAGUAAUGUGAAGAGUCCUGGUACUUCUUUGACACUCAAGAAAAAUCUUUUCAUCAUAAAAAAAGAUGUAGUUUGAAAUUGCUAGAUUGCCAAUAAGCUGUUUCACGUAUUCAACAAAGAUAUUGUGAGACACAUAUGCUAGAUUUAUUACAUUUAGUAAAGUAUUACAAUAUGACUUUGAGCUUAGCAAUAAUGACAAUAGCAAAAUUUUAGCUGGCAUUUUAUUCAACUAUUCUAUCACGCUACACUUGUUAUGUUUUAUUAGUUUUAAAAAUUUACAAGCUUUAUUCUUAGAGAUCGACUACUGACAUUCUUUAUUAAGGAUUGUCACAAGAUUACUUUGACUUUUUUCUUUUUCUUUGACCUUUGCUUUUUUUUUCUAACGUUAUCUAGUGUUUUCAGAGUGUAACAUCUAUCAUUUUGGGUCAUACCUCAUACGCUUGCUAUGUUUACAAUAUCUGAAUUGACUAUAACAUCAUAAUCAUACUUUUACAAUAUUGUUUUGUCAUUCUUAUAUGAAAAAGGGCUAAGGACUUUAAUCAUCACUAUUGGUCAGGAGAUAAGCUUUUUUGACCUCAGGGUUGGCUUAUCAUCAUAAUAAAUAGUUACUAAUUUACACAUAAACUUAUUCUUUGAAUCAAUGGUAGACAACUUAGCUUUCAUCAAAUCUUUUUUUUCUUUGUAAAACUCUAUCCGAUCCAUAUCCAUCAACUUCUUCACCUCUUGACGAAAUUGGUCACAACUCUCGAUAGAAUGCCUCAAAGUAUCUUUGUGAUAGUUGUAGCUCUCGAUUGAGUUAAUCAUUCCUUAGCAAUUUUGAAACUCUAUGGACUUCAACAUAUCAGCUUUGACUAAGGCUUCAAACAUAUUAGCCGUUAAAGUUUUGACUUCAUCUAUCCCCUUCUUGACAUAACUUGCUUGUCCAUCAAUCAAAGCAUUUAUUAAUGGUAUAGUAUGGUUUGGUAAAAGGUUCUCAUUAACAUUUCUAGUCCCUCAUUGGCUAGUAUCAAAGUUUAACACCUUUUUAUUGAUUAAUCAUUGCACUUUAUGAUUUUAAAGUAGUAUAGUUUUUCAUAGAAUAGCCCAAGUUUCCAUAAUUAUAAUCAUAAUGCGCAUUGGGAUCAUACCAUUUAAAAAAUAAAGGUUUCAAAAGUUCAACAAUAACAAAGGCUAGUAAAUAUUUUUCAAUGAUUUGAGGGUGCAAAUUUGUGUAUGUCAUAGGGAUAAGGUCGAAAAUGGCUUUUUUUUAGGCAUUUUUUAGGGCUUUCAAACCACUACUUAGAUUGGAUCUCCAUUUUGGUUUGGUAGGUGUAGCAAGACAAUUAUAUGAAUAGGUAGGUAUCCGAAAGGAUUAUUGAAAAUAAAGUAAAUAAACUGGUUAUUAUAGGGAUUGAUACAACUGAUAUGGAUAAGGGAUGGAUGUAACAUUAUUUAUUGGUGGAUAAUGGGUUUCGUACACUAGUAUGAGAUAUGAGUGAAGCAUCUGAAUUGUUGCUCCACAUAGUUAACUGUUUGGGCUUUAUUUUUUUUCUUCAUAAAAGCUUCACCUUUCUUACUUUACAUGUUUUUUCUGUAUCAAGCUUACCAUUUUUAUGGCAUUUUCAAUAAUCUCACCAGAUAUCACCAUAUUUGUAAAGUUUUCAAUUGCAUUGCCCAUCAGUCUUUUAUAGUAAGGUAUUUUUAAAGUGUUCAGAAAUAGAAUAGUUAUCUCAUUUUUAGUGAGGGGAGGUUGUACUUGUAUGAUCACAUCUUUUCAUCUCUAUGCAUACUCUUUAAAAUUUUUUGUUGUUUUCUUUUCUAUGCUCUACAGAAACAGAUAAUUUGGAGCUAGAUCUAUAACAUGCUGAUAUUAUGCAAAGAAUGCCCUCAUGAGCUCCUUUCAAGAAUGAAUAGGAGUUCUGUCUAGUUGAACAUACUAUUUAACUGCAGAACCCAUAAGGUUAUCCUAAAAUACGUGUAUCAGUAGCUUCUCAUCAUAAGUAUACGUCACUAUCUUACGAUAAUAUAGGGUGACAGAGUUAUUGGGCAUUUUGUGUCAUCAUAUUUUUUAAAUUCAAAGACCUUGAAUUUAGGUGGAAUGAUCACAUCUGGAACUAAACAAAGCUUAGUUGCGUCCAUAGAGCCAUAAAAAUCUAUUAUCUCUAUGGUCCUAAGUUUUUCUUCUAAUAAUUUCAUCUUCUGUUGAGCAUUGGUAUCUUUCACUUUUUAAAAUGUUUUCAUCCCUAGCUUUUUUCUCUCAUUAGGAUCAUCCAAGUCAGGAAUCAAGAUUAGCUUUGAUGGUUUUUCUACUAUGAUAGGAUUACCAAAAUUUUAGAACUAUCUUGGAGUAGGUGUGGAUGUCAUUCCUAGAUAAGGAUAAAAAUAUCCUCUGGGAGUAAAAAUUUGCAUUUUGGCUCCUUGAGAAGGUUGGAUUGGUUGUGGCUUAAAUCGUAAAAGGUAUAUAGGAUCCACUAUGUUUGGCACUUGCUUUUGGAAACUGAGGUUUCUUUCUACUAUUUUUUCUUUGUCAAAAUUCUUAAGCAUGUCUAUUAUCUUAUUAAAAUCCCCUUUUAAUUUCUUUUAAGCCUUCUUAAUCCUUUAAAAUCGACUAGUGUAUUCUUGUUUCAUGAUUUUUGUUUGAGCUCUGGAGUUGUAUGAAUGGUUAGUAAGUUGAAUUAAAAUUUUUGGUGGAUGAGCUAUUCUUGAACCUUUAUUACCACAAAAAAAAAAAAUUUAAAUCAAAAUGCUAUGUGUUAGAAAUUUUAUUUUUUAACCUUCUUUUUGUGAUUUUUUAAAAAAAUAUAUGGUUAAAAAUAAUGCACAUGAUGCAUAAAUACAAGUGAGAGAUAUUUACUCUUUGACAAAUUUCAACACUAGAAAAUUUCAUUGAUUUCAACUUUUGUUAUAUAAGAUUUGUCAUCCUAGAAUUAUAUUCAUAGAAACAUUUGACUUGCUCAUAACGAUCUUUGGUCUCAUCUAAAAAGUUUACUUGAUGCUGGCUAUAUUCUUUUAUAAGAUUGACUUAUCUUCUUAAUGCCUUUACCUUUUUAACCAUCUUUCAUACCUUCUUUACUGCUUUGCAAACUUGACUGGUUAGGUGCUUUAUGUACUAUUGCCUUCUUAAGUUUUUUGCUUUUUAUUUCAUACAAGCAUCACUUUUCGAAUUACAUGUAAAGAUCCAAUCCUUUUUCCUUCUCUACCACUCAUCUAUUAUUAUUGAAAUAUGGUUCUUGUAAUUUUACAGUUACAGCUCUAACCUGUGGAUCACCUAGUGAAAUGAUUCUUUUUCGUUUAGUACUUUAAGGUGCUCUAUUCUCUUUUUUGUGAGCAUAGCCUUCAACUUUUCCUUUUCUUUCUAGCAUUCAACCAAUUUUGCCAAAGCUGUAAGGUAUAAUCCCUCAUAAUUUUGGCAUUAUUGAGAAAUUUUGAUGACCUCUUUUUCUAUUUUUUGAGCUUUGCUUUUUCAUUAGUUCAUUUCCUCUCAGAGCUCGUUCAUUUCAUGUUGCCAACUAAGGUUAGACUUAGUAACUUUUUUAGUCAUGAAUUGGACUCAUAACCUUUUGUUUUCUUGGUGUAGAUCUUUCAAAUCAAUGUUGGCCACUUGUCGUUCUUUUAUGACCUUCUUCAAUCUGCUUUUUUGUACUUUUACUUCUUAUUUUAACUAUCCUAUCUUUUCACUAAGUUUCAAAUUUUCUCUUUUUAUUUCUUUUUUUUUAGCUUCCAAUUUCUUCUUAACAAGCUCAACUUUUAAUAAUUGCACUUUUGUCAAAAUGUUAGCUAAUUGAUAUGAGUCAUCAUUAGGAAUGAACACCAUGUAUUUGAGUCACUUCACUUUUCAAAUCUGGUAAUUAUGAGUGAUUUUGUCAAGAAAAGGCCUUAAUCUCAUCUUUUGUGUUUUUUUCUAUGCUUGGAUUAACUGCUCCAAGAUUUUUAAUGGAUUAGAUUCUUCGUAAGUGAAUUCUACUUGAACUAGGCCAUGAGUGGCAUGAACAAACUACUUUGCAUCGAAUUGUCACAGUACCAUUAAUAGAGCGUAACUUACCAUACUCUUUAGUAUUAACAGCGGUAUCUAUGGUUCAUCAUGAGCACGCAAGGCAUCCAUGGCGCCAUCCAUUUUAUUUCAUCCUUGGUGAGUCUUCGCAAAAAUAAAACCCAUUUUUCUUUAGUCUUCAAUGUUGGCCAUUAGCUUUUGCAAAACUCUUCGAUUAGUGCUUAUUUAAAAAAUACAGCUCUGAGAAUGCACUCUUUCCACACUUGAAAUGAGUUGUGACCUACAUAUAAAAUAGCAGUGCACACCCUAUAAAUGUCUUUUUUCAUUUCAUUGAUAGAAAUUCAAUAACCUGAUUGGUUCGACUAAGACUGCUAGUGCAAGAUUAAUUGCUUAAGUUUUAAUUUACUCAAAAAAGUCCACCACAAUUAUUUCGAUGUAACACGAAAUCUUCAAGAAGAUCACCAUGACGUACACUGCCAAAGCAAACAUAACCAUGCCUUGAUCAUCAUUUAAAUGCCCUUGAAUAAAAUUUUGGAUAAAGUCCCAAUAGAUAUUGAGAUGUUCACCUUUAGGCUUUACGAAUGAAUCUAUGGUUUCUAUUUUAACCUCUAUAAGCUUUGCCAACCUUUUAUGAUAACUUGAUUUCAACUUUCGAGUAAACACUUUAUUUGGACAUUGUAGUUCUAUCAUGAGCAAAACUAAGUACUCCUUAAUAGUUGGCAUCAAAUAUUCCUAAUUAAAAGUGAAACAUCUAUAGGAUGGGUCCCAAAACUGUAUGGUUGCCUUGACUAACUGCUCCUCAAUCACUAUUGGAAUGAGAGAUACAAUCUGCCUAUACUUUUUGUAAAAGUUUUCUUUUCUUUUUUCACUUAAAUGACCCCAGAUGAUAGCUAAAUUUUUUAAAUUAUUUUGUGUAAGAUCCGAUUGGCUUAUCUUUAUGUUCUAUUAUUUUUAACAAAUCAGAAGGUAGUGUGUAAUUAUCAAAAUCUUUUUCAUUAUCAAGUUCGUCAACAUGAAUUAGGUUUUCAAAAUUGAAUAUGAGAUUAUUGUCAUAAUUAUCUUCGUGUUCAUUAUUUAGGAACCUAUAAAUGGGUGAGAUGAAAAGAAUAUUGGCACCCAAAAAUGGAAUGAUAAGAAAAUGAAAAAAGAAGUGGAUCGAAUGAAUGAAAGUGAAAACAAAUAAAAGAAAUGCAAACGUAUUUUUUAAAACUUUUAUUAAAACGAAACAUAAACACUCCAUAAAAGAUCUUUUAAUGCUUAUAAAGAGCAAUUAGAGAUUUAUAGUUUCAUAGUACAUUACUUUUUAGAAAUUUUAAAAACAACAAGUAACUCUAUGACAUUCCAAUUAUUUAGCUCGAAGUUCGAAUGGCAAGGAUGCAUAAACAAUUUUUCAUCUUAGCUCUUUUUUCCUUCUUCAUCCACCACCUGAAUGGUCAGCUCAGAAAAAUCUUCCACCAAUUUUGCAUUUAGGGCUUCAAACGAAUCUGGAUAAAUAUAUCCUCCCAAACAAAAACAAUCAUAAAGGGAUGGAAUAACCAUUAAUAUCUCUUGAGAUUAGCCAUUCUCUUUUCUUUCUUCUCAUUCACCAUUUUCAUUAUGUCUCCUCUUGUUGGUUUAUAACAUAAGCCAAAUCUGUCAUUCUUAUCAUAUAUUACCGACAACUUUAUGAUUCCUUGUAGAUUUUUCUCUAGUUUAGCUUCAAGUUGCCAUUCCAUCUUGGUAAGCUACUUGAUAACCAUUUUAAUUAUCAUAGACAGAUGCUGUGAAUAUAGUUUAGAUUCUUCUGCCACAUUUGUUAUGUUGGCAAUCUCAAAAGAUCUAUAAAAGCACUUUAGGGCUUUAUCUACCAUUUUUACAUAAGAAGUAUUUUAUCGAUUGGGUUAGAAGUAAAUUUUCUUCUUUUGUCACACAUGUAGGCUUUUCAUCAACAAUGAAUUUGACUUUCAAGUGUAAUGAGGAUGGAACAACACUUGCCAUAUAAAUGUAUGGCUUACCCAAUAAGCAACUAUAUAAGGGAGAGAUAUCUAUAACUUGAAAUUUUACAUUAAAAGUAUAAAGGUCAAACUGUAAUAGCAUUUUUAUAUUUCCUAACACCUCGUUUUGGGUCCCAUCAGAGGCCUGAACUAUCAUAUGAUUAGACUUCAUGUAAGAUCCAUCAAUAGGUAGUUUUACUAAAGUAGUCAUAGGCAUAACAUUGAUUGAUGGGCCAUUGUCGAUCAAAACCUUAGCCAUUAUAUGACUUUUAUAAUUUAUAGUAAUGUAAAAAGCCUUGGUAACCCUCAAGAGGAAUCUCUUCAUCAUUAAAAGAAAUGUAAUUUGAGAUUGCUAGAUUGCCAACAAGCUAUUCCACAUAUUCAAUAAAGAUAUCGUAAGACAUAUAUGCUUGAUUUAGUACCUUUAGUAAAGUAUUAUAAUGUGACUCUGAGCUUAGCAAUAAUGACAAUAACGAAAUUCUAGCUGGCAUCUUGUUUAACUAUUCUAUCAUGUUAUAGUCGUUAUGUUUUAUUAGUUUUCAAAAAUUCACAAGCUUCAUUCUCAAAUAUUGGCUUCUGACAUUCUUUAUUAGGGAUUACCAUAGGAUUACUAUGACUUUCUUUUCUUCUUCAACCUUUGCUUUUUUUUUUUUCUAACUUUUUCUAGUGUUUUUAAAGUGUAACAUCUCCCACUUUGACUCAUACCGCCCAUUAUGUUUAUAGUAUCUACAUUGACUAUAACAUCAUAAUCAUACUUUUAUGGUACUGUUUUAUCAUUCUUGUAUGAAAAAGGGCUAGAGACUUUAAUUGUCACUAUUGGUUAAGAGAACUAUUAAGGAACUAGUUGAUUAUCCAUGUAAUAUAUUUAUUUAAAUGUGUUUAGAUAUAUAAAUUAAUAUUAUUUAAUCAUUUAGAUGUUCAAUAUAUAUAUAUACUACAAAUAAUAUAAUUAAAAUAUCAAAAUAUAAUAAAAUUAAAUUUUUAAUUAAAAAUUUAAAAUAUAUAACAAUAAUAAUAUUUGAGGAAAAAUAAAAUAUCCAAAAAAUUUAUAUAUAAAUAGUAUAUGUGUGCCAUUUCCAUUUUGUGCAAUUAUUUUUAUACACCUGUAAGUUUAUAUAAUUUUAAAAUAAGUUUUAUUCAUUGAAAAAAAUAAUGAUUUUAAAUAUUUAAAUAAUAUAUAUGAUAGCUUACUCACAUGUAAACCUAUUUAAGAGCUGGGUUACCUAUUCGAACUUGAAAGCACACUCAAAAUUUUAAAGGGCUUAAAUAUGAAUAUUAGGUCCGUUAAAUGGGCAUGGACAAGUAAAUAAAGCCUAACAAAAAAUCAAAUCGGGCUUUGGUUUCACUAUUUUAGGUUGGGGCUCAACUCGACCAGUCUCGACAAUUAAAUAAAUCUAAUUACUUUUCUCAUAAUGGGACAAAGCAUUUAUUUUUUUUAUUAUGGACAAAACUCAUUUAUUUUAUUGUUUACAAUAAAAAAAGCUAUUUACUUUCUUUUUUAUAAUAGACAAGACCCAUAUUAUAAUUUAUAAUAAAAAAAAACCUAACCACCAACAUCUUUGCUUUCUUUUUCCCCUUUCUAAAUUUUACCCUUAUUUUUGUUCUAGGAUUAGCCGCUCAUUUCACUAAAAAUUUCUCCUUCAUUUCAUUUUAAAAUUAGCUUGUCUCCUUUAAAUCUCAAUAAUUUCAAACUCCUUUAAGAUUGUCUCCUCCAAAUUGGCUUGCCUUUUUUAGAUUGGCGUUAUCCCCUCUGUCACUAUAAGAAAAUUGCUCUAUGCUAAUGCUAAAAAAACAGUCAGUAAAACUUAAAAAUCCAUUGGUAUAGCACAAUAAACCUUAUAUUGACAGUCAAAAUAUCUAUUCUGAUAAAUUUAUAACCGUCAGUAUAUUCCUUAACAAUAUAGACUUAUAGUUUUUAAGCUGUUGGAAUAUAUAAUAGAGAUAUACUGACAGUUUUAGUCCGUCACAAUAUGUAUAGCUAUUGAUAUAGCAAAUAUUGUGUGCUCCACAUUAUAUCUUUUACCGACAGUUAUUCUCAUCAGUAUAGAUUUGUAUGUUUUAAUUUUUUAACUUAUACCAACAUGUCUCUAUCAGUAUAUUUUUUACCAAUGAUCAAUGCCCGUCAAUAUAGCCUAUGUGUUUUAAUUUUUACCAACGAUCCAUGAUGACUAUCAGUAUAGCUUAAAAUAUUUUAAUAGUAAAACGUGUCAGUAUAAAUUUUAAGAUGUCGCUAAAAACUUUUUUUUGAAUUAUAUUUUCAAUUAUUAAUAUUAAUUUAUCUACAAUCAUAAUAUGAUAUGGAUUCAUAUAAAGUAAAAAUACAUAAAAAAGUAAAAAUAUUUAAUAACAUUUGAAAUAAAACAACAACCAAAUUGUUUUAUAAUCCACAAAUUCAAAAUAAGUCAAGAACUAAUGUCAUUGUAGCAAAUCUAGAGAAAGAAAGAACAUUUAUAUCUAUGAAUGGUAUAGCCCUAGUUGAUAGUGUGUCUAAUGAGUGAUUCAGCAUUACUAGAAUUCCAAGCUCCCAUGGCAGAACCGUCUGGACCUAUAGUCCUUCCAUUUAGAGCAUUUAAGCUAAAAACAACCGUAGCCCUAUGUCGAAAAUAAAAGUAAUUGGAUCCAGGUAAAAGGAAACUUCAUCUAACUGUUUAAAUGUUAAGAAAUAGAUAAAUUACAUUCAGAAAGAAGAUAAUAAAGUUUACUUACUCAGAUUUUUUGAAUAAAAUGUUGAGUUCAUCCCAUCUAGACAUAGGUAAGCAACCUUAGGAGAAACCAAACAUCUCUGCCAUCCUUUACAAAUUUUGACCAAAUAGAGAAAAUUUUGUCAACCAAUUAUGAGAAAACAUUAAAAUGAAAAUGCAUUACCAAUAUUACCAAGGAAAUGGAGAUUAUGUUUUGUUUAAAGUGCACCCUAAACAUUCAAUCAUCCUAAGCUAUUACUUUUUCACUAAACAUUCAAUCAUCAAAGCCAAUGCCAGUAGAAGGAUAAAAAAAUAGGCAUGCUCAAUGACACAAAAUUGAAAUGCAAAAAAUGCAAAAUACCUUUGAUAAAUGAUGAAAGUCUUGAAGCUUCAACUUUGAUUCAGCUCUAAAACAAAAUGGGUGCCGAUGAGUUUAAGUUUGUUGAGUCAGUGAGAGGUAAAGAAAGUUGGUGGAAGGUAGAGAUUAAGCUAUAAGUACUGACGAGUGGAAAGAGUUGGUGGGAGAUGAAAAUUAAGUAUGUAGAGUCAGUGAGAAGGGGAGGUAAAAAAAAUUUUGAAUGGGGUUAUUCAAGAUACUUUUGGCCAAAAACGCCUUCAAUAAUCUCCAAAAUUUUUUAUGACCGCCAAAAACGCCUUCUCCCAAAAUUUUUUAAAUGGAUUAUUAAAGGUGCUUUUUACCAAAAACGUCCUCAAUAAUCUCUUAUAAAAAUUUGUUGAAGAGAUUACUGAAAGCGUUUUUUACCUAAAAUGCCUUCAAUAUUUCUCUCGUAAAAAGUUAUGAGAGCUUGAGAGUGUUUUUGACCAAAAACGUUUUCAAUAAUCCCAUCAUAACUUUUUACAAGGGGAUUAUUAAAGGUAUUUUAUGUCAAGAAUACAUUUAAUAUUCCCCUCAAUAAAUUUUUAUGAGGGAUUAUUAAAGGUAUUUUUGGUCAAAAACACCUUCAAUAAUCCCUUCAUAACUUUUUAUGAGGGAAAUAUUAAAUGCAUUUUAGGCAAAAAAUACCUUCAAUAAUCCUUUCAAUAUAUUUUUAUAAAAGAUUAUUUAAGAUGUUUUUAGAUAAAAAAAAUGCCUUCAAUAAUCCAUUCAAAAAAUUUUGAAAAGGGAUUAUUGAAGGUGUUUUCAGCUAAAAACGCCUUCAAAAACACCUUCAAUAAUCUAUACAAAAAAUUUUAAAGGGAUUAUUGAAGGUAUUUUUGGCCAAAAAUAUCUUUAACAAUCCUCUCAUAACUUUUUAUGAGGGGAUUAUUAAAGGUGUUUUAGCCGAAAAUACCUUUAAUAAUUUUCUCAAUAAAUUUUUAUAAGAGAUUAUUAAAUGUAUUUUUGGUUAAAAACGUCUUCAAUAAUCCACUCAAUAAAUUUUUAUAAAGGAUUAUUGAAUGUAUUUUUUGUCAAAAACAUCUUCAAUAAUCCCAUUCAAUUUUUGGAUAGCCAAUAGUUUUUUUUUUUUUAUUUUGAGCCUAUACUAAUAGUUACAUUAAUAACUGUCAGUAUAUAAUAUAUUUAUAUUUACGGAUAGUCAUAUACCAUCAGAAAAAGUUUAUUUAUACUGACGGUUAAACAAAGUGUUGGUAUAAGUAUGGUAUAUUCUGAUGGUAUUAAAACUUUAUCAGUAAAAUUCUUAUUUAUUGAUAGAAUUUGACCGUCAGUAAAUAAUCCAUACAAAAAAAUUUUUGUAUGGAUUAUUGAAUGCAUUUUUGGUCGAAAAUGUCUUUAAUAAUCCCAUUCAAAAUUUUGGUAACUAAUAGUUUUUUUGUUUUGAGCCUAUACUGAUGGUUACAUUAAUAACCAUCAGUAUAUAACAUAUUUAUAUUGAUGAAGUCAUAUACCAUUAAAAAAAUUUAUUUAUACCAACGAUUAAAUAAAGUAUUGGUAUAAGUAUAGUAUAUUCUGACAGUAUUAAAAAUCUGUCAGUAAAAAUCUCUUUUAUUGAUAAAAUUUAACUAUCAAUAUAACCAAGCAUCUGUAUAUGAAAAAGUUCUCUAACUCGCAAGUUAAUCACUUUAUGGUAAUUUUUUUUCACUCUUGUCUUUAUAAUUUUUAGUUUAUUUUCUUUAUUUUCCAUAUUUUUAGAUAUCAAAUUAAGUUUUUAAACUAAAACUAUUUUUUUAUUUUGAAUAAUCAGGGGUAUUGGUUCAUAAAAGCUAGUAUUUAUUAUGUACUUCUUGAUAGCUUGUGGGACUAAUUAAACUAUAUGACAAUGUCUUUGGCAAACCUUAGCUCUCUUAUUUUAUGUAAGAAUCGAUUUGGGCAAAAAAUAAGAUCCGAAGAGUCAGGCCAGGUCGAGCCUAGACUUGUUUAUAAUAUUUUCAUAUCCUACUUUAGCCUAGCCCGGAUUCGGUUUGACCCAACCCAUGAACAUGUCUACUCACAUGUAUAUUUUUUGAAAGAGUUUUAGUAAUAUCUUGAUUUUCAACAAUUAUAAGAUUUGCCAAAUUAAUUUUUAUACUUGUUUUAAACUUUAUAUUUGAUGCAAAAUUAUGUUACUGUAAAAUUAGAAACAAAAUAGCUUUAAAUUUUAAGUAAUAGUAUUAAAUUUUAAACAAUUAUUUUAAAAAUUUUAUUGAAAAAAGGUUUCAAUUAAAAUGAGUCAAUUCUCAUUCACAGGAUUUUAUAAUAAAUUUAAAAGGUAAAAAGCUUUGCUUUUUAUUUUUACAAUUUAAGUUUUGCUUCCAAAAAAAACCAAUAAUAUUAUAAAAAUUAAAUUAUAAAAACUUAAUUUUAAAUAAAUAAACACAAUUUUACUUUUAUAUAAAAUAAUUAUCUUAAAAUUAAUACUGUAUUUUAGUCAUUUGCUUUUAUUUAUAAAUUUAAAAAAAAGUGCAUAACAAAAUCAACAAUUAAAAGUAAGCCUGUGUAAUCUUUUCUAAAUAAAUAAAAAAAAAUAAAACCAACAAACAAUAUCUAAACAAUUAAAUCAAUAUUUUUUUACCUUAAAUUGUCAAAAUAUUUGAGAAACAUCACUACAUGGGUUUUGAUUUUUAGUGGCAUUUUUUUACGUUUAGUGGCGUUUAAAAACACCACUAAAAGAUUUACGCAAUUUGCAAAAAACAUCAGUCAAAGUGUUGGCUAUACAUGCCUGGUGAAAAAUAGCGGUGUUUUCUAAAAAAUACCGCUACAUUAGCAGUGUUUGUAUCUAAAAAAUAUCGCUAUAUUAGUAGUAUUUUGUAUAUAGAAAAUACCGUUAUAUUAGCAACGUUUAUACCUUUGACAUACCGUUAAUUUAGUAGUAUUUUAUAAGAAAAAUACCGUUACUUUGGUGGCAUUUGUAUCACAAAAAUGUUGCUAAUUUAGCUCGUUUACUAGCAAGACCGCUGCUACUUUUAGUAGCAUUUUAUGGUACAAAUGCCACUAAAUUAUUCAUUUAGCUACAUUUUCAAACACAAAUACCGCAAAAUUGAGAAAUGUAUUUUUUUUAAAUAAAAAAUUUAUGUUAAUAUUUAUUAUUUUCAUAAAUGAGCUUAAAUUCAUAUACUAAAAUUAAUAUAAACUUAAUUCACGUUCAAAUAUGUAUCUAAUUAAUACAAAAUUUAAUAAUUAGUAUAAUAACAUUCAAAUUUUUUAAUACAUUAACAAAAUAAAAAUUAAAAUGUAUAAAAUUGAUGACUGGAUAUAUUUUGAAGGCUGUCAAUUGAUGACGAAAUUUUUCCACCUUGGUCAAUAGCGUGCUUAAGAACCUACUGAAUAAUAGCAUAUAAUUUUUAACACUUCAUUGUAAGCUUUUUUUAUAUUAAAAAAUAUAAAUAUUUACUAAAUAUAAUACAUGAGUUGAAAGACCACCGAGAUCAGUUCCUGAAAAUUGUUGUUGCACAAAAUUAAUAAAAUGAUCGAAUCGAUCAUGCAACUGCUGAAAUUUUGUACGUUCUUGCUCCAUUCUAGCAAGUUCUUCCUCAAUUUUGGCACGCUUUUGUUCUCUUUCUGCUUUCAUUUGCUGGAAAACAUUGUUGCAUAGUUUGCAACUCUCUCAAUAUCGAAAUGUCUAGUGAAGAUUGACUUGCUGAGAAUGUAAAUUACUAAAAGCUAUGUCCAUAGUAGGUAGAUGGUGUUGGACCCAAUCCAAAGCCUCAGACCUGUCCAUGCCUUUUUUUUCUAGCAACUUCUAUGAGUAUCCGAUUUUUCAAUUCUUACAUAUUGAGAGAACCAUCAGAUAUUACUUCAAUCUCAACAGUCAUUUUUUCUUUCAUUUUUUCCUAUAAAUUAGUCAUAUACAACUAUCAAGUUUAAUGAUUAAUUGAUAAUAUGUUAAAAAGAGUAAAUAUUUACUUUCUGUUAAAAUAAAUAUUACAAAUUAUCACAAUUUCUUGUGUUUCGACAUUCAUGUAAGAUUUUUUUUUUGUGUUAAGUGAAAAAGUUUCACACGUCCAAUUUGACCACCCAUCUCAAUCUCAUAUACAAAAACAUAUGUUAUUUGAUAGGAUACAUAUCAACUGUAACUUAUUCAUGCAUAUCAUAUCUGUCAAUCAAGUUCACAAAUUUUAAAUAAUUUUAAUAUCAUGUAUUUAUAUUUUGGCCCCUUUACAAUAUAAUAAUCUUAACCAGAUGCAAACAAUAAAAGCACUUUGGCCUUUAACACAUAUCGAUCAUGGCAAUCAAAUUCAAUUAUUUAGACAAGUUUAAUAUUAUGGAUUGAUGCCAUUCAAACUAUUGAAAGCCAUCCACAAGUUUAAUUUGUAUUUUUACCUUUUAAAGGUAAAAAUAGUCCCAAAUAAACAUAAACAAUAACUUUUUCACCAUAUCAAUCGUAGAAAACAAGUUCAAUCAAUCAGGCAAGUUUAAUAUCAAAUAUUGAAGCUAUCCAAACUAUUUAAAUUGAACAAUAACAAAAAAUUUGUAAUUUUACUUAAAUAGACGUAAACAAUAACUUUUUCAUACAUAUCGUCCGUCUCAACUAAGUUUAAAACUUUUAAUAAGUUUAAUAUCAUGUAUUGAAACUAUCAAAACUAUUAAAAUAGUACAAUAACUGUUAAUUUGCAUAUUUACCUUUUACCGACAUAAAAAGUUCAUUAAUUGAAAUACGUUUAAAAUCAUAAACUUACUAUUUCUUUUUGCUUUCUUGCAAAACUUUUUGAUCCACUUGUGUGGCUAUUUUUUUGUUGCUUUCUGCUACUAAUCCCAAUUUGUUCUCUUUCCUAUCAUAAAAAAUAAUUUGGUAUAUCAUAGAAAUACAAAUAUUGCCAACUUAAAGCAUAAAACACUUUCAUUAUUUCAUUAUACUAUAUAAAGUUAUAAAUUAGUACCUUUCCUUUUCUUGAGAACUAAAAUCUAACUAAUUGUUCAUAUUGCCAGCUAAUCACAUUAUGGGGUAGAUUUUUCAUCGUCGCCUCUACAGUUGUAUUUUUAUCAACAUACUUAUUCUUCAAAUUAUGCUUAUAAUCUCUCCAUUUCUUUCCCAAUAACUUAAACACAAAUGAAAUUGAUAUUUUAAGUACAAAUCUUGACUGUAAUAAUAUAAAAAAAAUAAUCAAUAAACUAAAUUUAAAAUGAUUAAUUUUUUAUAUGUAAUUAAUUAUACUAAUACCUCAAUAAAGUUUAAAGCAUUAGCCUUUACUUCUGCUGGAACUUUACGUCAUGUUUCAUAAUGAAUAGGCAACUUCAUUCAAUUACGGGCAAACAUACCUAGAAAUCUAGCCAACAAUUGAGCCUCUUCACCAAUUGGUUGUCUAUUAGAGUUUGCAAACACUACAUUACGCUCAUUCGAAGGUAGUGCAAAUAAUUUCUUCAAAGUUGUUCAGCCUCUGGUCAUCCAUUGACCAUUGUUAUCAACUGUAAAAAUUAAAAAAUAAAUUUAUAAAAUGGCAAUACUUUUAUCAUUAUAAUCAAUUUGUAAAUAUGGGGUAUAUGAUACCUGCAUUCAAAUUUAAAGCAUAAUCAAUUAACGGGAUACUAUCUAAACUGAGACCUCUCGUAUUGCCAAAUCUAAUAUCAGUUGAAGGGUUAGAAGUGACUAAGUUAGAUCCGACAGUAUGUUCAAUCCCCUCCAAAGGAUUUAGUCCAUUGCCAAUAUCAACAGGUGUCACAGAUGAUUCUGAACUAAUAUUUCUUAUAUGUAUUCCUUUCAAUUUACUCAUUCACAUUGUAGCUUAUCUACAUCAUAAAAGUGAAUAUAUAAAAGAUAUUAGUUUAGAACAAAUAUAAAGACAUUGAGAAGUUAAGAAAUCAUAACCUACGAUACAAAAAGAACAUAUCGAUUUAAUUAAAUUAAAAGAUAAUGUAUGAUUUAUAAUACAAUAAAUAUACAAUAGCGAAUGCGACAUUAAUUACAUACAAUCAUUUAUUAUAUUAUGUCUUAAAUACUCGAAUUACAAAAUAUAGAUGAUCUAUCAUGGUUCAUAAAUGUCUUUCUUAAUAUCUUCACGAAACUACUGAGCAUAAGUACUAGAGAUAUUUUUGUCCAAGUUUUGUUCAGCAAAAGGAUAACAUUCAGUUUCAUUUUUAACAUCAUGUCUUGUAUCUAACCUCAUAUCAAAUAAGUCUCUAGGUGUGUUUCGAAGAACAACAAACUAACCCAAUUCUAUGGGAUCUUCAAAAUAAAAAACUUGUUUGAGUUGAGAUGAAAAAACAUAAGGUUUAUUAAUGAGUUGUUGUCCAGUGUGAAUUAAUCGAGAAAAAUUCUCAAGUGUAAAUCCAUAAUGAUCUUUCUUAAUAUCCUUCGUACUAUUCACAUCAGCCCAAUUAUACCAAAAUAAUAAUUUUUCACUUGCCAUAAUAAUCCAACUCAAUGAUGUCAAUAAUCAUGCCAUAAUAGUUAACAUUUUCUUUGAAAGGGUUUGUGUCCUUAGCACUAGCAUAGCUAGUAGUUGAUAAAGUAACAACUUUUGAAUUUUUUGUACUGCUAAAUCUCUCAUGAGAUUUUGUGUUAAAUUUAAAUUCAUUGAUGAUAAAACUUUUUUAUCGUUUCACAAUCCUAUUCAGACCUUGUGAAAGACACUUCACCUCUUCACUAACAAGCCUUUCACUCUAAACCUAUAAAAGUGAAAUAAAUAUAUAUGUUAUUAAUGUUAAUUAUACCAUAAGAUUUCUUAUAAAAGGAAGUAUGGCAUUACUUACAGUUGCUCCUAACCAUUCAUGAAAGUUUUUGGCAAACAAUUUAUCAAGCUCUCAAGAGUUUGAUUGUCAAUAAUGUGUAGGAGCUCUCAAAUUAUUUUUAUACUCACUAUAAAGCAACAUAAUAAAGUAUUAACAAUAAAAAAUACAAUAAAUUAUGGUUAAUGUAAUGACUAAUUUCUUUGCUAAAAAACUUAUGUACGAAAUGAUUCAACAGAGUCAUGAUGAAAAAGACCAUAUCGAUGUGCUUGUGCCUAAGAUUUAUCAUCUAACUCUACCAUUUCAGCUUUGCCUAUUGGUUAUCCAAAACUUUGAAAAAGAUAUCUGUAGGUAGAGUCAUGUUGCUACAUACCAACAUUUCUUAAUGGUCUAUUAAAUCUCGUUUCAACAUCUUUCAAAUAACGAGAACAAAAUGUCAUAAACUCUUUUGCUAAAUAUCUUUCAGCAAUAGAACCUUCUGGAUAGCAUUCGUUAUGAUAAUAAGACUUUAACCUCCCUAAAAACCUAUCACAUAAAACAUUAGUCAUAUAUCUUUUUAAUUAGAGUGGCAUGAUCAUCAAUAAGACCUUAAUCAAUCUAUUAAAUAAUAACAUCUUUCGAUAUACAUCCAUUGAUAAUAAAUUGACCCACCUACUUUUGUUUCAUAUGGAAGAUGGAUAAUCAAAUACAUCAUAAUAGUGAAGAAGUUUGAAGGAAAAAUCUUUUCUAAAUGGCAUAAAGUAAUUACAGCUCGAUCUUAAAGUUUAACAAGCUCAUCCAUAUUCAUACAUUUCUCACAUAGAGAUUUAAAUAUGUUACUUAAUUCGCUUACCACAUAAGUGACUUGUUUUGACAUUGAUGAACAUAAAGCAAUUGAAAGUAAGUCUUGCAUCAAAAUGUGAUAAUCAUGUGACUUCAAUGAAAAAAUUUUUCGCUCCUUCAGAUUCACACAUCUCGAUAUAUUUAACGUAUAGCCAUUCAAAACUUUGACAUUUUUCAAAACCUUGCAAAACAUAUCUUUUUCAGAUUUAGAAAUCCUAAAACAAGUAGCAGGAAUCGAUAUUUGUCGUUAGAAAACAAUUUUGGAUGAAGGUCAGGGUGAAUCUUCAUAUUAACUAGGUCAAGCUGACUCUUUAAGUCAUCUUUUGAUCUUUUAUUCAUAUUAAGAAUUAUCGCAAUAAAAUUUUUACAAACAUUCUUUUUUUUGUGCAUCAAAUUAAGGUUAUGAUGUAAUAAAUUAUAUUCUCAAUAAGGUAACUCAAAAAAGAUACUUCUUUUUUUUAAUAACUCAAACUCAUUGGGGUUAUUUUCUUCAUCAUCCUCUUCAUCACUUUGAACAUCAAAAUCACCAACUUCAGUAAUAGUAUCACCAACUUACAUAAUAUGAGGUCGUACACCUUCAAAGAUACUCUUCACUCUUUUUCUUGAUAGAGUUAUUUUUUUAUAAGUGAAAUUGAUAUCUUUUAACUUUGACAAGAUAUUAAACCCACUAAUGGGUAAAAGAGAUUUUCUCAACUCUUCAGUUCUAUCAAAGAGAUGUUUAUGAAAUCUAAAUCGAUGAUUAUCAUCUAACCAUCGAUGAUAUCCCAUAUAACAAAACUUCUUACCAUUAGGUAACCACUUCAAACAUGUCUAUGUAGCACAACAUAGACAACCAUAAUGACCUUUUGUACUUCAACUAGAUAAAUUGGCAUAAGAAAAAAAAUCAUUGAUAGUCCAUAAUAAAGUAGUACAUAUAUUGAAGUUAUCUUUUUUUAUGCAUCAUAGGUCUCAACUCCUUCCCAUAAUUACUUUAAGUCUUUAAUAAGAGGUUGUCAAUAGAUGUCUAUAUCAUUAUUCAAACUUUUUUUCUUGAAAAUUAUCAUAGACAAUAUAAAUGACUAUUGCUUCAUAGUAAUCCAUGGUGGUAAAUUGUAAGGAAUCAAUAUAACUGGUUAAGUACUAUAAGAAGUACUCAUCAUUUUAAACUGAUUAAAUCCAUCGGAUAGUAGUCUAAGCAUAACAUUUUAAGGAUCAUAUGCAAAGUCUGAAAACCUAGAUUGAAAUUUCAUGCCAAAGAAUAUGUAGGAUGCCUAAAUGAUCCAUCAUCUAUCCAUUUUUUAUGAUGCCACCUCAUUGAAUCUAUAAUUUUGAAAGACAUGAAGAGUCAUUGAAGUCUUGGUAUUAAUGAAAAAUAGUGUAAAACCUUAACAAACUUCUUUUUGAUACUAACCUCAUCACCAUCCUCAUUCAACCUUUCAUUGAGGUUUUUAUUCACCCAAUUAGAAAUAUCACACACAUGAAAAAAUUCUUGACUUUUUCUAUCACCCUAAUACAACAUGCAAUCAUUGGGACAACUAUGAAUUUUCUCACAUCCGAGACCUAAAUCCUUGAUCAUCUUCUUUGAUUCAUUAUAAGAUUCAGGAAUUUUUGUAAAAGAAAAUAUUUCUUUCAUAAACUCUAAUAAUAAAGUCAGAGAGUUUUCCGUCCAUCCACAUAAGCAUUUCAAGUGAAAAAAAUAAACAUAAAAAGACAACCUUGAAUGCUUUGAGCCCUCAUAAAGUUCUUUAUUCAUAUCCUCAAGCAACUUAUAAAACUUUGAUGUUUCUCUUAUAGGUUAUUGGUCAUAUAUACCUAUCCCAGGUUUAUCAAAUUCAUUCAUUUCAAUAUUAGACUGAUUAAAUCCAUCAUUUUAGGGAAAAUGAUUAUGAAAAUGUUAGUUAUGAAUGUUAAAAACAUCUCACAACAUGCUUUCAAUGUCAUCUGCUAUAAAAAGAUCAUGUUGGUGUUGAAAAGCCCUUGAAGUUGAAGGAACUUUAAUGAAAAACUUUGAUGGUACAGACUCUCCAUAAAAAUACCAAUUAAUAUAUUUCGAGAAAAUUUUAAUACAAAUUAAAUAUUCAAAAAUAACUUGACGCUUUUGUCAAUCUAUAUUAGCACACUUCACACAUGGGCAUAAUAUCAUAUUAUUUUCACUUGUAUUCUCAAAUGCAAAAUUAAGAAAAUUUUUCACUUCAUCUCUGUACUCUUAACUUAAUUUUAACUUUUGCAUCUAACUCUUAUCCAUUUAGUACUUACUACAGUAUCAAACUAAAUGUAUAUAAAUAAUUUAUAUGAAAACGAACAUGCCAAAUACUUAAGUUUACUAUGUUUUAAACAAAAGAUAAUAACAAGAUCAGUACUUACAAAAAAUGAAAACUCCUUGUUGUAAAAUAUUUUAUCAGGUAUCUAAUAUUAUGAAUGUUAAAAUCUGCUGCUAACAUAGACAAUACCCAAGAGUUUUUAUAAUUGAGGUUGAAAUAAGGUAAAACAGGUACAGAAGAAACCCAAAAAAAGAAAAAAGAAAAUGAAAGAGAAAAGGAAGUUAAUAAUGGGUUAUAAAUGGGUAUUUCAAGAAGGUGGGCUUUAAAGAAAAUUGUUUAAACUAAAAAAAAAAUCACCAAUUGCAAAAGCUGAAGGAAUAGUCGAAUUACGUAAAAAUAUUAGUAAAUAACUAAUGAAUAGUUGAAAUCGGGUUCUAAAAUAUAACGUUCGAAUAGUAAAAGCUGAAGGAAAAGGAAAGUAAAUUGUAAUUGGUCUGAAAAAAGAAAUAGUAAAAUAAUAAAUAUGAAGCUUUAAGUUGGUGAUUGGAUGCGCUAAGUUUGGAGACAAUUUUAUUGGAUCGGAUUAUUAAAGGCAUUUACGAAGAAAAAUGCAUUCAAUAAUUUUCUCUUAUACAUUUUUUAAAUAUAUUAUAGGUGCCAUCAACAAAGUCGUAAUAGAAUUGUUUGCAAUUAUUAAAGGCAUUUACGCACCAAAAAUGCCUUCAAAAAUUUCAUCUAAUUUUUAUGAUAUAUUUAUUGAAGGUGUUUUUUGCAUAAUACACCUUCAAUAAUUCCUUCUUUUUUUUCUAUGAAUAUCAGUCAAUGUGUUUUCUACUAAAAAUGCCUUUAAUAAUUUUCUUUUAAAAAUUGUUUGAGAUUAUUAAAGACAUCUUCUAUAAAAAAAUGCCUUUAAUAUUACACUUCUAAAAUUUUAAGGGGUUAUUAAAGGUGUUUAUUCCAGAAAAAUACCUUGACUAAUUUUUUUUUAUUGAAAAAAUUUAUUGAAGGCGUUUUCUAAUGAAAAACGCAUUCAAUGUUUCACUACUCAAACUUUAAGACGGUUAGUGAAGGCAUUUUUUUAGAACAAACGAGUUCAAUAAAUUUUUUUUAAAAUUUUUGAGAUUAUUAAAAGCGUUUUUCAGUGAAAAAUACAUUCAAUUUUUCAUAACACAAAUUUUAAGACGUUUAGUAAAGGUGUUUAUUCUAGAAAAAUGCCUUCACUAAUUUUUUCUAAUUUACGUACAUAAUAAUUGAAGGUAUUUUUUUAGAACAAACAUCUUCAAUAAUUUUUUCUUAAAAUUUUUUAGAUUAUUAAAGGUGCCUUCAAGUGAAAAAUGCCUUUAAUUUUUCAUAACUCAAAUUUUAAGACAGUUAGUGAAGAUGUUUCUUUUAGAAAAAUGUCUUCACUAAUUUCUCCUAAUUUACAUACAUAAUUAUUAAAUGUAUUUUUUUAAGAAAAAAUGCCUUUAAUAAUUUUUUCUUAAAAUUUUUGGGAUUAUUAAAGGCGUCUUUCAGUGAAAAACGCCUUCAAUUUUUCACAAUUCAAAUUUUAAGACGUUUAAUGAAGACGUUUAUUCUAGAAAAAUGCCUUCAUUAAUUGCUUUUAAUUUACGUACAUAAUAAUUGAAAGUAUUUUUUAAGAACAAAGGCCUUUAAUAAUUUUCUCUUAAAAUUUUUGAGAUUAUUAAAGACGUCUUUUAGUGAAAAAUGCCUUCAAUUUUUUACAACUCAAAUUUUAAGACAGUUAGUGAACGCAUUUAUUCUAGAAAAAUACCUUCACUAAUUCCUUCUAAUUUACAUACAUAAUUAUUGAAGGUAUUUUUUGAAAACAAAUGCCUUCAAUAAUUUUCUCUUAAAAUUUUUAGAAUUAUUAAAGGCAUUUUUCAGUGAAAAACGCCUUUAAUUUCUCACAACUCAAAUUUUAAGACAUUUAGUGAAGGCGUUUAUUCUAGAAAAAUGCCUUCACUAAUUCCUUCUAAUUUACAUACAUAAUUAUUGAAUAUAUUUUUUUAGAACAAACGCCUCCAAUAAUUUUUUUUUUUUUAAUUUUGAGACCAUUAAAGGCAUUUUUUAGUGAAAAACGCUUUUAAUUUUUCACAAUUCAAAUUUUAAGAUAGUUAGUAAAGGUGUUUAUUCUAGAAAAAUACCUAAUAAACACCUUCAUUAAUUCCUUCUAAUUUACGUACAUAAUUAUUGAAGGUAUUUUUUGAAAACAAACGCCUUCACUAAUUUCUUUUAAUUUUUGUACAUAAUUAUUAAAAGCAGUUUUCUACUAAAAAUGCCUUCAAUAAUUUUUGUUCAUAAUUAUCAAAGGUAUUUUUUGAGAAAAAACACCUUUAAUAAUAAAUUUUAUAUUCAUUCCCUAUCUUGGACAUCGGAAUCAAAAUUUGUUAGUAUACAGAAUAAUUAAAAGUUGUAUUAAUCAAUCAAACCAAACCCACAAAUACAUUUCUAUCACACUUUUGGUUUCUUUAUCCCUAUCGUCGCUACCAACCUUUAAUAAAUCAAUGACGCUCACCUCUCUAUUUACCGGUAUGUUUUUAUAAUUUUUGUUUACUGUAUUAUUUAUAUUAUUCGAUAGAGCUAUUUUUUUCGAUUCCUUACUAUUUACAUAUGGAUAUAUAUUUUUAUUAAUUUUAUCGUAAGCGUAGUCCUCCAAGUACCUAUCAUUGCAUGUAUGCUAUUUCUGUGUAGGCUUUUGUUAAUAAUGUGGUUUGCUGAACCUUGUUAUGUGAUAGUGUUUUGCUGAAUAGUAUUGUAUGAUAUUGGUAUGCUAAAUUGUAUACUAAAUGGUUUGCUGAAUGAUGUUUCUGAAUGGUUUGCUGAAUGGUGUUUCUGAGUGGUUUGCUGAAUGGUGUGUCUGAGUACAUUGCUGAUUGAUUUAUUGAAUGGUGUUUCUAUAUGUAGUAUGGUAUUGGUGGUAUUUAAUUACGUACAAUAUUAAAUUUAGACAGUCAUUUUAUGUAAUUCGUAUAAUUAUAAUCAAAAUUAUAGGUAUUUUGACUCUGAACAACAUCAUUUUUCUUCUAUUAAACAUGCAAAAAACACACAUGUAGGUCAAAAAAGAAAGGAAAAGGGCCCAAAUAAAUAAAUUAAAGUGAGUAACAUAAAAAUUCACGUUGAUUUUAAUCAAAGUGGGUAGCCUGUGUCUGAAAGAGCUUCCAAGAUGGCUACUCAUAUUAGAGCCAUCGUCCAUCGUAAGAUUUCAAUUAUGUACACCGCUUGGCGACGAGUUUCUAAUGAUCUAAAAGAUUAUAUUUGGCAGUUGGUAGUGGUAUGUUUAUUCAACUAUUUCAUAAAAUUUGUUAAUGAUCAUUUAAUUGAAAUUCAAUGUGUUCUCACAAAUUAUGUUAAAUAAUUUAGGAACGGUUUGACAUCCUAAUUUAUUGUAAAAAGAUUGUGUUGCAAUAUGCUGAAAAAGCAUUUAGAGAUUUUAAAAGCAGAUUGAUAACCUAAUAUAUUUUAUCACUGGCUAAUCAAGGUGAUGUGUUGGUUAUUCCACCUACGGUAUAUACAGAUAUGAUAAAUGUUGAAGAUUGGAUAAAUUUUGUUUGAUAUCAACUUUCAGAAGAUUUCUCAGUACGUAAAUCCAUUACCAAAAAUAUUGUUUAUAAGUCUUUAUGCAAUAUAGCCUUUGAUCUUCAUAUGUGAUUGACGUAAUUUCUUUCUUUUAUAGAAAAUCAAAGAAAACCAACGGAACAUUUGGGUCAAACAAUAAUAUCACCAUCGAACAGCGAGAAAAGGAUAUGAAAAUGUGAAGUAUAAGCUUGUAUGUAUUCACACACUUGUUUUAUACUCAUUAAUGAAUAUUUAUGAACAUUCAUUUCAUACAUUCUAAUUCUUUUAUUGUGUUAAUUUAAUAGGAAUCAGUAAGCUCUGGCAUCGAUGUUUCUAAAUGGGAUGUCUAGAAACAAAAACAUCUAUAGAAUGAUAGAUCCUUUGUAGAUAAAGUAAUCGAAAAAAUGACAAAAAAGAUUGUAUGUAUAACUACUUUUUUAAUAUAAUAUAUGAUUGACAUUGUGAUUGUAUGCAUGACUGUAUACUAGCUUGUAUAGAUUUAUUGUCACAACCUAUCUUAUUAUUGUCUUUCAGGAUGAUUAUGUUGUCAAAGUCUAAUCAGGUGAAUUGGUAACCCAGUAUGGUGAAGAUCCUUUGUCUUUAGCAUUAGGCGCUAAAGAAAAGCUUGGUGGGGUUAGUAUGGCUGGUAAAUUUGUCUUGCCAUCAAAGUUUUUUAGUAAUCAACAUAAAACCCUGCAAUUGAAAAAUGCACAAUAUGAAGCAAUCAUUGAGCAACAAUAGCAACAAAUUGAUGACUAGGAACAAUGCCUCAAUGAGCAACAAUAAAAACUCGCUGCUUUGGAGUUCAUGUUGGUAGCAAUGUAACAUAACAUGCUAGUAGGCCGAUCGAUAGCAUUAUCCAUGUAGGAUAAGCUGCCAUUGCAAGUAAGAAAGUGAACCCAUCUUCCGCUACCACCUAAGAAGUAUGAUUUUAUUUAUAAUGUUAAUAUUCAUUUGUUUAUUUUAUUUAUUGAUUUAGUUUUAAUACUUAUAUUUUAUUAAAUAUUGUGGCAGGAUGUUGCAACUCACAGUAUGACCCUUGUUCAGCUUACUAUAGAUGAGUUAUCCAAAUAUUCGUUAGAGUAUUUAUCCAGAGAAAACUUCAUAGCCAUUGAGUCUGAAAAAGGAUUAUUUGAUAAACUAUCAUUUUCUUUCAUUGGUGUGGAAGAGGUUAAAGAAUUUUGUGAACUGAAUGAAUUAUCAACUAUUGAUAUUAUUGUUUAUAUGAGGUUAGCUUAUAAAUACAAAUAUGAACAUUCAAUAUGUAGUAAUCUAUAUUAGGAUGUAAUAUUAACUAUCAAUGUUGAUUGUUAUUAUGCAGCUUACUAUAUAGAGAGCUCAAGGGGAGAUAGUUGACCAACAAAUUUAGAUUCAUUGACCCUAACUUCAUUAGUGAGCAGAGUGACACAGUUGCUUAUCGUGCUAAUCAUGUGAUCCAAUGCAUGAAAAGAUUGGCUUAUUAUUAUUUGCUCUCGUAUAAUGUGCAGUAAGUUAUAUUACAACCUUACUCAAAUCUGAUCUGAUGCAUAAUCUGAGUAUAUCAUCGUUAUUAUUUUACAGUCGUCAUUGGUUGCUUAUUGUGAUUGACAUCAAAUCUUUAACGCCAUACUUACUUAAUUUAGUUAAUCUAACAACGAUGCCUAAUCUCGAUAUUCAAACUUUUAUAAAGAGGUAUUACACUUUAUUAUAUUAUAUAUCUUCUAUUUUUUUAUAAGUAAUUUUAUUUAUGUAUUAAGUAAUUUUUUUCUUUUCAAUUUAGGGUAGUAUUUGCAUUCGAUAAGAAGAUAAAGAAACUAAAAUGGGUGUCAUUAUCGAUAAAUAUGAAAUUUAUUCUUUUAUGCUGAGUUUGUGUAGAUAAAGAUUUCCUAAACCCACUCAAUUUAUUUUUUAGGUACCUUGUCAACCCGAUAAUACUAAAUAUGGAUAUUAUGUCCUUCGUUUUAUGCGAAAGAUAGUAUUAGAUGAUUUUAUGACCACACCAUUCAAGAUUAGUAUAAAUUUCAUAAACUCGUUAUAUCUUCAAAAAAAUAAAAAGGUACAUUAUGUUCUCAUUUAUUAACAUUUACUUCUGAUAUAUAUUUUUUAAUAAGAGAGUAAAGAAAUCUUCACGGAAAAAGAAUUGGAUGAAGUUCGUAAAAAAUGGUGUGAGUAUGUAUUAUCAUUUAUCAAUGUUGAUAAACCUUAGGUUAGACAUUAUUGGUUGAAUGUAAAUAUAUGAGGAACAAAUUGUUAUAAUGUUUUAAACAUGCCAUGUUGAAUGGAAACUUUAAGUUUGUACAUUGAGGUAUUGGUUUAAUAUUAUUGGUAUACUUAAUAUGAAUAUACUAUGUGUACUUAAUAUAUUAUUGAGUAUGAUUAUUUCAUAAAAGUAUAUUAAUAUGGCAACGUUAUCAAUUUUAAUUCCGGAUGUGUGGUCAAUUUAUUGAAAUACAACAAUAUUCAUUAUGUAAAUUCCAAAAUGUAAUUCAUAGUAUCACAUAUAUAAAUUAAAUAUUUUUUUAGCAUAAAUAUACAACUGACUUCAAAUAUUUUCUGGGCAUAAACCUACAACUGACUUGACAUAUACAAUAUCAAAUAUAUUUUUUUGAUGGGAUUAAUGAAUGCGUUUUUAGCAAAAAAAAAUGCCUUGAAUCAUCUCUAAUAAAUGUUAUUGAAGACAUUUUUAACUAAAAUCGCUUUCAAUAAUCCCACCUAAAAAUAUAUUAUGUGAAAUAUUAAAGGCAUUUUGAAAAAAAAAAUACUUUCAAGAAUCGUACCAAAUAUUGUGCAUGGAUUAUUGAAUGCAUUUUUGAAAAAAACUGCCUUUAAUAAUUUCUAUUAAAAAUUUAUUUAUUGGAUUAUUGAAAACACUUUCACCCAAAAAUGCCUUCAAGAAUUCGUUUCAUAUUUUUUUUAUGGAUUAUUAAGAGCAUAUUUAGUAAGAAAAUGCCUUGAAUAAUCUUUAACAAAAUGUUAUUGAAGGCGUUUUUUACCAAAACCACCGUCAAUAAUCUCACCUAAAAUUUUAUUGUGUGGAAUAUUAAAGGCGUUUUGGACAAAAAAUGCCUUCAAGAAUUCGUUCCAACUUUUUUCUAUGGAUUAUUGAAGGCGUUUUUUAAAAAAUUACCUUCAAUAAUACCAACUAAAAAUUAAUUGAAUGGAUUUUUAAAGGUAUUUUUUUACCAAUAACACCUUGAAUAAUCCCCAACAAAAUAUUAUUGAAGGCAUUUUUAGAAAAAAUCACCUUCAAUAAUCCGACCAUUCAAAUUUAUCGUCUAAAAUAUUAAAGGCGUUUUGAGCCAACAAUGCCUUCAAGAAUUUAUUUCAACUUUUGUCUAUGGAUUAUUGAAGGCGUUUUUUACAAAAAUUGCCUUUAAUAAUCCUAACUAAAAAUUUAUUGAUUAGAUUAUAGAAAGCGAGUUGGGCCAAAAAUGCCUUCAAAAAUCGAUUCCAUAUAUUUUCCUAUGGAUUAUUAAAAGCGUUUCUCUACGAAAAAAUGCCUUUAAUAUUUUCUCCAAAAUUUUUUAAAGCAAAUGGUGAAGGCAUUUUUACCAAGAAAAUGCCUAGAAUAAUCAAUUACAAAUAAUCUCUACAAAAACCCAAAAAAGGCUAAAGAGAGGGAUCAAACAUAUCACCUUAUGGUUAACAUCCAUACGAUCUUAAAAUUUUGAUAUGAUAUUUAUUGAAGGUGUUUUUAACCAAAAACACCUUCAAUAAGCCUGUGAAAUUUUUUGGUGAAAUUAUUAAAGGUGUUUCUUAUAGAAAACGCCUUCAAUAAUUGUAUACAUUUUUGUUAUGAGGGGAUUAUUGAAUGUGUUGUCUGCUAAAAAUACCUUCAGUAAUUCCCUAUCAAUUUUUUUAAUGGGAUUAUUCAAAGCGUUUCUGACAAAAACGCCUUUAGUAUUCACUCAAAUUUUUAAGACAAGAUUAUUUAAGGUUUUUAGUUGAGAAACAUCGUUAAUAUAAAGUCUUGGGUGAUGUUUAUAAGUAACAACGUCACUAUUUGAAUAUUUAGUGACGUUUUGAUAAUAAACGUCUUAAGUUUUAUGAAAACAUGAAAAUUAGCGACGUUUGUAAGUAAAACGCCGCUACAAAAUUGUCACUAAUAUUUCAUUUUCUUGUAGUGAAUUAUUAUUAUACUAAACCAAUCUUUUUUCUCCACUCCAAUAUCCAAGAAUUGUCAAAGAAUUUCUAUAACAUCCAUGCAUACACUUUGAAACAAAUAUAAUAUUUAAAGUUUUUAUAAAAAUUUCAAAAACAAAGAAAAAGAAACAUUGAUUUUAAUGUUUUUAAUAUGUGGAUGAACAAAUUAUAAAAAGAAAAAAAAUGGUGCAUCUCACGAGUUAAAAACCCAUUUCUUUGCAAGCAUAAAUGUUAAAAAAAUAUAGAAAUAGAAGUAACAUUGAGAAUAUCAUUAAAGAAUAAAUUAUCUUCUAAUAUAUGUGAUAUUUUAUCUUUUUAAAUUUAAAAAUAAUCAAAUAAUAAAAUAUUAUUAUGAAAUCUCUAAAAAUAAAAAUUAUAUUUUAAAUUUUGAAAAUUAAAAUGACAUAUUUAAAUUACUAAGAAAUCUAUUUUAUAAUAUCACUACAUUUAAGAUUUUUAGAUUUAAAAGGAUAUAUAUUUAUAUUAUUAGGAAACCUAUUUUAAAAGAUAAUAUAUCACUAUAUUUGAAAAUUUUAAAUGGAAAAAGAUAUAUAUAUAUAUAUCUAUAUAUAUAUAUGUAUGUAUAGAUUAUUUAGAAAUGCAUUUUUGAAAAAAAAAUAUUUUAAAUUAGAUUUUGUUGUUAGCAACUUAAAAAUAUCCGAAUUGGUCUUCUACUUAAAUUUAAAAAUUUUAGAUAAUUAAGUAAUUUUUAAAUAUAUAUUUUUGAUAAAUAGCUUAAAAUUAGGAAAUAUCUUAUAAGUUAUUAUAAAGAGAAAUUUUAAAAAUUUUUCUAUGUGUCGAAAAAACAAAUUAUCCACUUAAAUAUCCACAUAAGUAAAUUUUAUCAAUUUUCUAUUUAUGUUAUAAUAUAAUAUUAUAUAUGAUAAUUAAGGAGUUAAUUAUGACACUUGCAACCAAUACAAAAAGAUAAUAACAAAAAUUUGAUCGUAAUAUAUUAAACAUAAAUUUAUUUUCUUUUUUAUAUCUUAAUAUAUUUAUAAUAUUUUGUAUGCAAAUUAAUAUUUUAUUAUUUUUAUAUUAAAAUAAUUAUAAAUAUGUGUAACAAAAUAUUAAUGAAAAGCAAAAUUAUUUCAAAUAAAUACAAAAAUAAUUGUAACUCUAUUCACACAUUCUAAUAUUUUAGCAUCAAUUAUUUAAUAAAUAAAUCAACUUAAUUAACACUAGGGAUGUCAAUUGAUAACGUAUGAGAUGGGUAAAGCAUUCCCUCUCCUUAUUCUUAAUUUCUUAUAUUAUAAUUAUUUUUUUACUCAUAUCUAAUGAAUAUUUUAAAUUUAUUCACAUCUUUAUUUCUAUGGGUAUUUAAUGGGUAUUACUAAUUCUUGUAUCCAUGACUUUUUAAAAAAAAUAAAAAAUAAGAUUUAUUUUUAAAAUAUUUUUAUCUUGCAUAUUUAAGUAAUUUUUUUAUAAAUAUAUAUUUUUUAAAUACAAAUAUAUUUGAUGUAAUACAUCUAAAAUAAAAUUAUAUUAUUAAAUAAAAAUUAAUUUAUUAAAUAUAGAAAAAAAUAUAUAGGAUAUGGGUAUGAAAUGAAUACUAUAUUACUUAUUAGCAUACCCAUACUCUAUAAAACAUAUAAAAUCAUCUUUAUUCUCAUUUUCAUCAUCAAAAUUUAAUAUCCAUUUUUAUCUUAAUUAAAAUAAAAAUUAAAUUCUUCAUUAAAUUUGAAUAAAAUUAACAUCCUAAUUAACAUAAAAAAUAGCGGGGAUGAAUACUAGUAUCCUUUUGAAAAAGGGUGACCUGAUGUAAAAGAUGGUGGCAACAUACUCUUGUGUAUUUGAUAUACUAAAAUCGUGGAAUUAUUUGUGCUGAAAAGUGAUCACCCAAACCGAUUAGGCCAAGUUCAAGGGCAUUUGGUGAAGUUCGAGCCUUCAUUUUUCUAUAUAUUUAUUGUAAAUAAAAAGUGCUCAAGGGCUAGCCUACAUGCUAGGCCCGCGAGAAUGACUCACUUGGACUGAAUUAUAAUUUAAGUUUGAUCUGCCCUGUUUUAAAGAUAUUAGAUUAUAUUGUAUAAAUAAUUUAUUUUGUAUAAUUUUUAUUACAAAAUAUAUUUUUAAACAUUAAUAUAAAAAAUUUCAUGUAUAAUAAUAAAUAUAAAAUAAAUGAAUGGGUCAAUUUAAAUUAAAUUAUGCUCAAACUUCUAUUUUUAAAGUAUCAAUACCAUUUCUAAUUGUGAACAAGUUAAAAUUUUUUUUCUUUAUUUUUGUAUCUAUUAAUUUUAAUAUGUUUAUAAUUAUUAUUCAUAUGUAUCCAAUUGGAUUAUUGAUUAUGGAUCCCAUAAACAUAAAUCAAAAUAACAAAAAACAUUGAAAACAAAUCAAAAUGAUAUUUGUUGUGAACCAUAUAAUUUGAUGUAGGUUAGACAUGGCAAAAAAUCUCAUCUUCCCCUCCAUUCCCCUCCAUUCCCCUCCAUUCAAUUUGAUGUGAACCAUGCAUUAAUAAUAUAAGUAGCAAUCAUAGAGGCGUGGAGGGGUCCCUCGUCCAACAGCCCAAGCCAUGUUAGUGUCACAUUCACGUAUGCGCUGACGCUAUUGAUCAGAUUACUAGCCGAGUGGUUAGAGAAAAAGACGUACAAGCAUUUCUGAAUUGGAUUCUCUCCCAACAAGACUAACCCAGACAAGUGUCACGGGAAAAGGACAAUUCAACGUAUUAAGAAGUCUUGUCAAAUAGGGCCUCCUAAAAUACCGACAAGAUAAAUUGAUGAUCAAAGGAGAAAAACUGAAACAAUUGAUUUAGCCUUUUUAAAAUAAUCAUUAUAUUUGAUAUAUUAUUAAUAUAUAAAUUUUAUAUAUUAUUAAUGAAUAAAAUAAUAUUUAUUUAUUAAUAAAAAUUUAAUAAAAAAUAAAUUUUUUUAUUUAUCUUUAAAGAUUAAUAAAAUUUUUUUUAAUUAUUAAUAAAAUGAUAUCAUUUAAUUUAUUAAUAAUAUAUAAAAUUUAUAUAUUGAUAAUAUAUCAAAUAUAAACUCUAUAUUUAUUAUGAAGAUAAUCAAACACGAUAGCUUGUUUCAUUUUCUUUUGAUGCUUGUCAUUAAAUUUUUAUUUUUGGAUAAAUUUCUUUGUUUGAAACAUUUCAAAUUAAUUAGUUAAUUUGUAGAUAAAGUUAGUAUUAAUUAUUUUAUAAAAAAGUUUUAAAACAAUCAAUUUUAAAAACUAUUAGAAAGUUAUUUUGUAAUUGUUUAAUUUUACUUUUGGUAAUUAAAAAAAAUUUUUGAUUGGUUAUAUUUAGAUUUAUUAAUCGGACUGAGUCGAGUUUAGCCCCAAGUUUAGUAUGAUAUUUUAAUAUUUUAAGUAAAUUUAAAGCCAGUUGAUUUUUUGAAUUUAGGUUUGAGUCUAAUUUAAUUUUGUUAAAUAUAAUUUAAAAUUAUAUUAUUAUUUUAUACAAAGAAUAAAUAAGUUUUAUCUUAUUAUAAGUAAUAAAGUAAAUAUGUAUUGUCCAUUAUAAAAAAAUAAAACAAAUGGGUCUUAUUUCAUUAUGAUAAAAAUAUUUUUUUUAAUUUUUGAGUUUGACAAGAUCAAACUCAAGCAUGAAAUGGUGAAACACAAGUCCAACCUCAUUUUUUUUAUUCGAUAUCAUUUGUUUAUCUAGGUCCAUUUAAUGAGCUUAAUAUUUACAUCUAAAUCUUUCAAAAAUUCAAAACAGGAUUUCAAGUUCGGAUAAACUAUCUAACCUAUGAUCAAGUCUAAUUAUAUUACAUUUGUACAUAAUGUGGGGUUACUUAUUUGUCACCCUAUCACCCUUAGUUAUUCUUAGAAAUAAUUUCAUUUUUUACCAUUAUAUUGUGCAUGAAAAAUGUAUUUGGUAUUAGAUUAUUAUAGGAUAAGAUAAAAUGAUAUAAUGAAUAGAAUUAAAUUAAAUAGUAUUAUCUUAUCUUAUAUUUGAUAUAUGUAAAAAUUAAGAUAAAAUAAUUUAUUUAUUAGUCAAAAUUAUUCUUUCUUAAAAUUUAUAUAAUUUAAAUUAUUAAUAUAAUUUUUAAGGGUAUAAUAAGACAUGUAAAUUCAAUUUCAUGAAUUAAAAUAAUUAUUUUUACUUUGAGAAUAUUAAAGUAUCUUAUACCAAAAGAAUGAUUAAUCCUUAUUGUAAUAAUAUAUCUUUCUUUAAAUAUAAAUUAAAUAUAAUAUAAAAUAAUUAUUAUCUUAUCUUAUCUAUCAUUUUAUACAUUAAAUAUGAAUAAAAAAUAUUUUAUAAUACAAAUAUAAAGAUAAUAUUUAUUAUUUUAAUAAUAAAAAAUAAUUAAAUUAGAUAAUCAAAAUGAAUUUAACUUUUUUCCUUUAUAAUUUAAUAAGCCAAUCCAACCCGUAAACUAAGUUUGGUUUAAGAUAUUUUGUAUCAUGCAAUAGCAAAAUCCAGAAUAACAAAACAAAGAGAAACUAAAUUUGUAAUGAUGUGGUGAAAAGUCGUAUGAUCUAUUACUAUCACCCCACGUGCAAAAGCCCAACGUACACGAUAGCUAUUAAUAUGUAAGCGAUGACAGCAGCCAUUUCUUGGACAAUGUCAAACUCUAUUUUUUUUUCCUUAAAUAUCUCAUACAACGGUGUUACAAGAUACCAAUCAACAUCUCCAUUCAGACAACGUGAAUAUGAUAUUGUAGCGUUAAAAUUAAUUUUAAUAAAAUUAAAAAUAAUAAUAAUGAUGAUAUUAAUUAUUAUAAUAAUAAAAUUAAAUAUGUAAUUAAAAUUAAUGAUAAAAUAUAUAUUUAAAUAAAAAUAUAGUGACAUCGAUAAAAUAAAAUAUAAUGAAAAAAUUGAUUAUUAAAAAUAUUAAAUUAAAUUUUAUAUAUAAUAAACUUUAUAAUAUAUAUUUGAAAAGUUAUUAAAUAAUUAUAAAUUAUUAAAAUUAUUUGUAUAUAUCAAAUUAAAAUUUUUACAUAAUAAAAUUUAAUGUAUAUUUGAUUUUUUUAAAGUCAAUAAAUAAUUAAAAAUUACUAACAAAAAUGAUAGCUUUAUAUAAUUUAUUUUUUAAAUAAUUUACUUCAGCACUCAAGUGAUAAAAAUAUUAAAAGCUUUUUCUAAACAUUGAUCAAAGAAAAAUAAAUAAAUAAUAAAAAAGGAAUACAAAAUAAUAUACAUAAAGAUUGGACACAAAAUAAAAUACGUGGACUAUCAUAUACUCUUUAUUAGGUUUCUUGAUUUAAGGCUUUUAAAAUUGAAUUGAAAAAUGUUAAAUUGAGUUAUAUGUAAGGGUAUUUAAGGGUUUUUGUCUUCAAUCGCAGAUUACAAAUUUUCACUGAUCUCUUUAGCUCCAAUGACGAUUGAGGGGUGUGGUGCAGUUGAAAGAUUCCAAUCGUGCAUCCAAACAUGCUUCUAUGGUGCAAAAUUAUGCUUUAUUGCACCGCAAUGGUGCGGUGAUAAAAGCGAAACCAAAUGGCCCUAAUUCUCCAAGAUGACAAUAUCUCCUACGCAAGAAGUAUCUAAGAUGACAAUAUCUCCCACGCGAGUAAACAAAAAGACAGUUGAUCUGAGUGGGAAAUUAAAAUAAGCUAUGAAAGCAACAUGAUUGUGAUGCAUAUUAAAAGUAAUCAAACUUGGAAAUUUCGGCCCAUUGAAAGAUGGGUGGGUCCAAACUUUUUAGCAAUACUCCUGUUACGCCCCUCUAUAAAAGCAAAUACAUUUUAAUUCUAUACACCACCAAAAAAAAAAAAAAUCAAAUCAAAUAAAACAAACACAGAGUUACCAGAAGCAAAUCGAACAAUGGAAGAAGCAGCAAUUCUUUACUCAUUUCUUUCUUUUAUCUUUCUUAUCAUUUGUUUAAACUUGUUCUUUCAAUCAAGAAAGCACCCCAAAAACCUCCCUCCAAGCCCACCAUCACUACCCAUAAUUGGCCACCUUCACCUCCUAAAACCCCCCAUCCAUCGUUUGUACCAUAGCCUUUCACAAAAAUAUGGUCCAAUCUUCUCCCUUCGCCUUGGUUCUCGGCUUCUUGUUGUAGUAUCAUCUUCAACCGCAGCCG